UAUUUUAAGAAUUUUUUCUAUUAGUUUCAAUUUAAUUUCCAACUUUCUUUCUUGUUUACAAUCUUAUUUUUCUUUCGUUUUUACUUUAAUUUUUCGGUUAUCUCAAUAUAGCCCGGAUUCUUUCUUGAAGAGGCCGAGAAAUCUUUCGAAACAUAUUGAUUCUGACAGGCUUUUUCGAUUAAACCGUCAGAGGUGGUAAGCGCGUGUCAAUUGCCUGGACCAUAUAAUGACACAAGUACACGAGCAUGAAUUUUAUCUUUGGCUCAAAGGUUUUGGUCGUGGUUGUGGGUUGGACUUAAGUUUGAUGAAUGCUAGAUUUGAUGAAGUUUAUUAUGCUCCGAAGCCAAAUCAGAAUAAUAAAAUAUUUUGGCGAAGUCCAAAAAAAUAUAUUUUUGUGUAACGAAAAUAUAGCCCAAAAAUUAUAAUUAUACGUAUGUAUGAUAAAUUAUUAUUUGAAAUUUAAAAUAUUCAAAUAAUAUAUUUAUGAUCGGAAAUUAAGUAUGGUGUUUAUGGUCGAACAUUACCGAAAUUAUGACUGGCGGUUACCGGCCAUUAAACGUCGGCGGUUCCAACUCAGAAUUAAACACCCCCAAGGUUGGAGUGCCUAUAUAAGACCACUUCCAUCAUUCCAUUCAACACACCACAAAGAGAAGAUCUUUUAUCUCUAAUCCUCUCCUCCCCGGAAACAUUUUUCGGUGAAGUUUUCGAUGACUUGUCCGGUACAAACCCAACAAAUUUUUCUUAAAUAUUAAGCCUCCCGAGAUAGUUUGAAGUCUCCUUAUUUUAGUUUGUCAGGGCUCUGAAAUCUUGGGGUGCCACCUAAUUUGGAGACGAACGUCGUUUUAUCUUUUGGAACGUUGCGCUACGAACUGGAGGCACUACCGGGGCGUAUUCGUUUUUACGGAGAGAGGUUAUACAUCGAAUCGAUGUGAUUAUCAAACUUAUUUCAAUAAAUUAUUAUUGAUUAUCAAAUUUAUUUCGAUAAAUUAUUAUUGAUUAUCGGAUUUAUUUCAAUAAAUUAUUCUGAUUGUCGAAUUUAUUUUGAUAAAUUAUUAUUUGAUUAUCGAAUUUAUUUCGAUAAUUAGAGAGAAAUUUUACCUCAACUCGACGUAAUUAUCGAAUUUAUUUCGAUAAAUUAUUUUGAUGUCGAAUUCUAUUCUUCGAUAAUUAUUUGAUAUUCUUGUGAUAUAAUAAUUUUGUAACACUUCCGAUCGGGAAUCCUACGCUACGUUAAAGACCAGUGGCAUCGAUCUAACCCAUCGGAUUGAGUCUUUGGCGGUUCAAGAAAAAUUCAUGCUUCGUGUUACGUUAUAGGAAAAAUAUCAUCUUUAUUUUGAUGUGCUUUCAGAUUUUGCUAAUGUGUGUGUCCAUAGUGUUGUUAUGUCUGUCGUAAGGGCUUAUUGAGUUUUAUAUGCAUUGUGUCUAAACUUUGUAGUGAUGUAUGUUGUAGUAACUGUAUGUAAAAAGAUAUGCAAAUGAAAUUGAAGUUCAAGUUCGGAUUUUUGGGAUUCUGCAAAACGAUACGAAGCAUGAUUUGCUUUGGGUGAAAUCUCUUACCAAAUUGCUUGGCUAUCAGAUCAAACAAUUAACUGAGUUUAAUUAUAUGAUUAUGUUCAUUUGUAUUUAAUUAUAAGUUUAACACUCUAUUUUACUUUUACUUUCUUCUUCUUCACCUAAUCAAACAAAUUCGGAAAAAACAAACUGUGGUAACAAAUUGGUAUUCAACUCCCCAGAAUUCAGGAUCUGAUUCUGCCACCGGAUGGUACUAUAAUUCUGAGGUAGGAUAUGUUCUCUAAGGAAAAUAUGCCAUCAUCAGAAGUAGUAGUA
Long non-coding RNA from Andrographis paniculata, 1827 nucleotides. RefSeq lists it as uncharacterized. Lineage: Eukaryota; Viridiplantae; Streptophyta; Magnoliopsida; Lamiales; Acanthaceae. The transcript has 2 exons. The record is from RefSeq and is a predicted model, not a curated record.